This is a long non-coding RNA of Hyla sarda, 2661 nucleotides long. RefSeq lists it as uncharacterized. Lineage: Eukaryota; Metazoa; Chordata; Amphibia; Anura; Hylidae. The transcript has 3 exons. The record is from RefSeq and is a predicted model, not a curated record.
UUAGCCCAGAGCCGGAGGAGCAGUGUCGAUCUCCCCAUCUGCCUACCACUAGCCAGGUUUGUAAAUUUUUUUUUUUUUUUUUUUAAGUUCUACAUAGUUUAGGAUCUCAACAUUAAUUUAAAUUCUUGUUUUUAGGCAUCUUCUGUUACAACAAGACAGAAAUCAAAGAGCACUUCAUCAAGUCAAAGUACAGUAGCGGUAUCCCAAAAAAAGAAAAGAUCAAAGGGAAAUUAGGGUGAGAUGGUGUCUGACUUUCCAACUGAGGAAUUAAUCCUAUUAGUACAAGAUCGGCCAGCACUGUGGGAUCAUACCCAUGAAUAACACCCUGACAAUUAUCACACAAGAAAGAUGUGGCAGGAAGUGGGGGAAUGUCUGAUUCCAAACUAUGUAACAUUGUCUUCGUCAAUCAAGACUAAAUUAGGACAACAUAAAGUCUUUCAGCAGCAUUAUAGACAGAACAGACAGAGGGAUACACACUACAAUCAGAAACUGCUCCACCUGUGGAAGGAGAACCUUAUAAAACUCGCAUGUCUGUGACAGAUCGAAUCCAGCAUCAAAUUAUGCAUGCCAGUAGACGACAACGAAAAGACCAUGAUUUUAGAGAUGGCCAUGGGAUUUCAAGAAAUAGAGGACAGCUUUGAGAGUAGACUCGUGUCCCAGGAUUUAAGGAUUUUGCGUUUGGAGGGAAGGUGGAGUGGUGAAAUAGAAAAUGCAGACCGUCAAUUCCUUCUCUCACUACUUCCUGGUAUGUCUUCAAUGACAUACUCUGAAAAGUUAUAUUUCCAGGGCAAAAUUAUAAGUUUAAUGGCAGAGAUAGACAAAAAGCACUCCCAAAAACCCACAUUUCAUGAACCAUCGCCAAUGUAACAAUUUCAAACGCUAGAUCCCCAGACACGUGUGCCUCCAAGUACACCACAGCGUUAAAUUCAAUAUGGUCAUCCUCAAAUUGUACAAACACAGUAUCUCAAUGUUCGUUCCUACUCUCAUCAAUAAGUCCAGGAAAGCACACCUGUUCGGGGAUCUGAGGUUGAAUUCCAAAAUUUGUAGCUACUUUUGUCUUUGCACAAUAUGAACCAGAUUUCUCAAAUAGUGUGUGAGAAACACUGUUGUGAAUUUCCAAAAGCAAAUGCUAUUGGAAACUCACUCCACUGUUUCUCACACAGUUCGAUAAAUCUGGUUCACUAGGGAUCUUUUCACACAGUGAGAUUUGGUAGGUUGAAAACAUUUUGUUAAAUUAUCUAAAGCACUUUAUCAACGAUUCUCUACUAUCUCAAUCUGGGCGUUUCCCAACCAGUGGGCUUCUAGCUUUUGUCAAACUACAACUCUCAGUAUUGUUAGUGCGUGGAGAUUCUUUGAAUUGUAUUCUGACAACAGCUGUAGGCCCCCUAAAAGAGUAUUGUUCUGCCAAGAACGCGAGUCCGAUGUGAAGAACUCACCUUCCUCUGUUCCCCCGUUGAACCUUUACAGCUGUUCGGUCCCCUUUGGUGCGGUCUUCUUCCUCCUUUCGUGUGACUGGAUCGUGACACUGAGCUCAGCCUAUCACCUGCCACAGCGAUGUACAAACUUUGCCGGUGAUAGACUGAGCGCAGUGUGACGAUCCGUGCACACAAAAGAAGGAAGAAGACUGGACCGAAGAGCUGUAGCAUUGCAACUAAGAAGCGGGGGGAAGGUGACAGACUCAAGUUCUUGGCAGAUCAAUACUCUUAACACUGGGAUGGAGAUUGUAGAGAGUCAUGGAAUUAUAUGCACUAGUAUGCCCCUCUUGCUGUUCCUUGUUGUUGCAACAGUUUUAUAUAGUUGUAUACCUCUUAAACAUUCUAUAUAGGGUGAAUUUUCUACAGGGCACUAUAUGCCAACAUUGUAAUAUGAUUUACGAAACUUUUUUGUGAAGGUUUAAAAAAUGCCAGCAGAAUUUCUAUCUGUAUUGUUUGUUUCUCAAAGGAUUUGUUUGAAUAUUCUUUGAGUUUACUCAAUUGUGGGUAAUGUUUACCUUAUAUUGUACAUGUUUUUUCACUUUUAUAAAAGGUAAAGAAAUUAGAAAAAAGAAUGUAUUUCCAUUAUUUUAACCCCUUAAGGACUCAGCCCAUUUUGGCCUUAAGGACUCAGACAAUUUAAUUUUUACGUUUUCAUUUUUUCCUCCUCGCCUUCUAAAAAUCAUAACUUUUAUAUUUUCAUCCACAGACUAGUAUGAUGGCUUAUUUUUUGCGUGACCAGUUGUCCUUUGUAAUGACAUCACUCAUAUCAUAAAAUGUAUGGCGCAACCAAAAAACACUAUUUUUGUGGGGAAAUUAAAACGAAAAACGCAAUUUUGCUAAUUUUGGAAUGUUUUGUUUUCAUGCCGUACAAUUUAUGGUAAAAAUGACGUGUGUUCUUUAUUCUGAGGGUCAAUACGAUGAAAAUGAUACCCAUUAUUAUAUACUUUUAUAUUAUUGUUGCGCUUAAAAAAAAUCACAAACUUUUUAACCAAAUUAGUACGUUUAUAAUCCCUUUAUUUUGAUGACCUCUAACUUUUUUAUUUUUCCGUAUAAGUGGCGGUAUGAGGGCUCAUUUUUUGCGCCAUGAUCUGUACUUUUUUUUGAUACCACAUUUGCAUAUAAAAAACUUUUAAUACACUUUUUAUAAUUUUUUUUUAAAUAAAAUGUAUUAAAAAAGUAGGAAUUU